This is a non-coding RNA of Vigna angularis (adzuki bean), 85 nucleotides long. Lineage: Eukaryota; Viridiplantae; Streptophyta; Magnoliopsida; Fabales; Fabaceae. The record is from Rfam.
UUUAACUGUGACUAGUCUUACAGACCAGUAAUGAGUUACGGGUAUGAUCGCAACCAUUAAUUAACAUUUAAGGGACUGAGUUAUU